CAGGGCUGCUCAACAGAUGUUUUCGAAAAUAAAGUGGCAUUAUUGUUCUAUCUUCGAAGACAUCAGGCAACGACCGAGUCCGAGCCGUUGGACGGACCAGGUGAAGAAAGUACUUGAUUGUCCACCAUAAAGUGCUUAUCAAUUUAUUAUCAUGUAGCGGAAGAGAUAGAGAAACAUGGUCAAACUCCUUAGGUUAUAUCCAUUAGAAGCCAAGAUUCUCAGAAAUAAGAAAGCGACUCGGGAAGAGAACUCAAGAGAUGCAAACUAUGAUGGGGGCAUUUUCAGAUGUAAUAGGACCCUUCCUGAGCUGGACAGAUUGAAUGCCGCAGAUUACACAAGUCGCUACUACCAACGUGGUGUUGAUGUCUCCAAUAACCCAAGAGAAAUACGAUUAAAAGAUUUUGUAACAUCUAUUUAGGUUGAUAAUUGGCUUAUGACUGAACCAUUUCUCUUUUUCUCCCUGUUCACAUUAAACUGUCACUGAA
Long non-coding RNA from Pararge aegeria (speckled wood butterfly), 485 nucleotides. RefSeq lists it as uncharacterized. The transcript is spliced from 2 exons. NCBI's taxonomy places the organism in Eukaryota, Metazoa, Arthropoda, Insecta, Lepidoptera, Nymphalidae. The record is from RefSeq and is a predicted model, not a curated record.